UUAAAGAUUCUCGAGAAUUGUUUGGCAAAUCAGAAGCACGUUCAUCCAACACAGCUCCACUCUUGGAAUUUCUUGUCCAUCGUUUCCAUACAUAUUGAGAAGGAAGCGUAAGGACAUUUUUUGCUCUAAAAACUGCUAAUAUGUGGCGACAAAUUAUUCCUGUAUAUUCAAACAUUUGGCAGCUGCAGCUAGCUUUCAUCUCAAAAGAAUUGAAACUAACAGUAUGUGCCUUGUGUUCUUCCCCAAAUUUGGCCACGCGAUAUAUGCUGAUGGUUCCCAAGUCUUCAAUCUUGGUGGCAGGAUUAGCAAGAGUCUCAACCAAUUCUUCCUGGAAUUUCAUGAAGAUUUUUCUAGUAUAGAGGUUGGCAGCUUGUUUUUCCAUAGGCGAAGGUGUCUUCAGAACUGGCAUAGUGUUAGCAGUGUCAUAGUCUGCCUUUAACUCCUUUUCAUGCCAACUUGCCACAGCUUUUUCAUACUGUUUGAUCAACAUCUGUAUGGUGGUUGAUGCAUUCACAUAACCUUCAAAGAAUGAAUUUAUAUCUCGACUUCCAUCAGUCACAGAAAACUCACCAAAAAAAGUGUUUCGCAUAUAAACUGGGACCCACUGCUGCCUAGCAUUGUACAUAGACUGAAGCCAUUCAUUGUCCAUGACGUAGUACCUUUUCAGGAGUGACUGCCAAGACGAUUCAAACUCAUCAAUUGUCUCAGUCUCACUGAUGCACUUUUUAAAUUCAAUUUCGAAGGUUGGAUGUGAUUGGUAUAUAUGAGCCAUUUUCUCUUGGGUUUCUCUAAAUAUACCCUGCUUACUGUAUCGAUGGCGAGUUUCAGGAAGAACUUGUGCAACAGCCACCUGUAUGAGCCGAUCAGGAUCUGUUGUGAUAGAGACUGGGUGUUGUCCAGACAUUGCAUGAAGCCAAGUUUGGAAUAGCCAAAUAAAAGAGGACUCAGAUUCAUUGAGAAGUAGAGCACAGCCAAACAAUACAGGUUGCCCGUGAUGAUUUACUCCAGUGAAAGCUGCAAAUGGUACCCUAUACCGAUUUGUCCGGUAUACAGUAUCAAAGAAAACAGUAUCUCCAAAGUAAUUAUAGUUCAACUUGGAGUUUGCAUCUGCCCAGAAUAUAUUUCCAACGGAGUGAUCAGUGUCACUCUGAAUAGCAUAAAAGAAAGUAGGAUUCUCAUCUUGCGUUCUCUUCAAAUAGUCCAGCACAUGCUGAACCCCGCUCCCGAGGGUCCUCUGCCUGCUACCACUCAUCUAACUGUUACUCUAAUCGUAUGGUAUUGACGGCGAGCGAGAGAGGUUUUGCCUUUUAGGUCUUGAUUCUUGUUGCAAUUUUUGGUGACUCGAAACUCAUAAUUCUUGGUGAUAGUUUCUGCUCUGUAGGCCAGGAGAGGGAGGAAGAGAUGGUGGCGUUUUGAAAUCCGCCGUGCAGUGCAACCGAGGACAGGAGAGGAGAGGGGGCCGUGAAAUGGUGAGACUUGAGAGGAGGAUAUUCGC
RNAcentral lists this unclassified non-coding RNA (1495 nucleotides) under Hevea brasiliensis (rubber tree). Lineage: Eukaryota; Viridiplantae; Streptophyta; Magnoliopsida; Malpighiales; Euphorbiaceae. The record is from RNAcentral.